This 233-nucleotide long non-coding RNA is filed under the name Coffea arabica (coffee). Its description in RNAcentral is "long non-coding RNA (CARA_LNC006620)". Lineage: Eukaryota; Viridiplantae; Streptophyta; Magnoliopsida; Gentianales; Rubiaceae. The record is from RNAcentral.
GAAGAGUCAACUAGCCAUUGGGAGUGUCGGACGUCCGAUACUCCUGUUUUUUGCGUCCGACAACAGGCAAUGAAUUUGAGAAAUUUUCUGCAAUUCUAUCAGACCUUCGAUGCUUACGUCCGAAAGCAGACAAUGAGUUAGAAGGAAUUUCUCAAUUCUAUCGAACGUCCAAUAUUGUCUUUGUGAGCGUCCGAUAGCUUUCAUCGAGUUUGAAGGAUCCUAUCGGACGUCCG